CAGCCGCCGCGGUAAUACGAAGGGGGCUAGCGUUGUCCGGAAUUACUGGGCGUAAAGCGCGCGCAGGUGGUUUAAUAAGUCUGAUGUGAAAGCCCACGGCCCAACCGUGGAGGGUCAUUGGAAACUGUUAAACUUGAGUGCAGGAGAGAAAAGUGGAAUUCCUAGUGUAGCGGUGAAAUGCGUAGAGAUUAGGAGGAACACCAGUGGCGAAGGCGGCUUUUUGGCCUGUAACUGACACUGAGGCGCGAAAGCGUGGGGAGCAAACAGGAUUAGAGACCCCCGUAGUCCCUGUCUCUUAUAC
Molecule: ribosomal RNA, 301 nt
Filed under: uncultured bacterium
Lineage: Bacteria
Description: partial 16S ribosomal RNA
Rfam family: Bacterial small subunit ribosomal RNA
Source: RNAcentral